This is a long non-coding RNA of Equus caballus (horse), 949 nucleotides long. The record is from Ensembl. Lineage: Eukaryota; Metazoa; Chordata; Mammalia; Perissodactyla; Equidae.
CAAGAAUCCACUUGGUGGCAGUUCAUUAAUAUUUCAUACUUUCCACUUACAAGGAGAAUUGAUUCAUCCUGAACAGAAUUUAUACAUAACCUGGAUAUCAGGAUAUCUUCUCUGUCUGCAGUGACUUCACAAUGCCUUUUGUCAAUGGCAUUCAGAAUGCCUCAUCUAUCACAAUGGUAACCCACACAUUACCUUGAACGAAGAGACACUUUUAAAGUACAGGAGUGGAUCAGUUAGCUCAAAACUGUAAGAUUACAUCAUAUAUUAUGUACCUCUUCACCCAGAAGCAGCUGGAUUAAUAAAACAUUGGAAGGACCUACUGAAGGCUUACUUCAGCUAAAUCUGCAGCUUGAACAAAUCACUUUGAAAGGAAAUUAUAAGUGACCACAUCUUGAACAUUUAGACUCCAUCAGAGGUCAAAACGAGGCUUGGGACAGAGUUCCAUGACACCUAUUGUUGCAGGAGUCACAGAGGCUUCAGCACUCAGUUCCGCCCUUAUUAUCCAAAAUCUGAUUCAAGACCUCCAAGUAAAGGAAAGAAUGUGAAAAUAAGUAAAAAGAAAAAAAUGACCAGACAUCUGGAGCUCCUCCUGCCACUGCUGAAUCCAUGACAGUGAAAUUCUUGUUCACUACGGUAAUCACAGAGAACGACUAUGCCAUGCCACUUCCAGAUUGCCUCACUUUCGCUAAAAGCCAGCAGGAUGAAAAUUUCCACUCAAGCAUUGUGAACUGGAGUCCACCUGGUACCACCGUGACCUCUAUCAGAAGUGUCUGAUGCCAAGGUCUAAUGAGGUGCAAAGGAUAUUGGAUAUUGUCGUGCUCAUCUAAAGCACACAGUCUUCAUCUCUCCUUCAUGCCACAGUGAAUUAAGUAGAUAAACAUGUCAUGGGAAAUUAAGAUGGAUGAUAAGCUUGUUGGCACCAUCUUGAAGGCACAAGACAUCAUCACCC